Molecule: ribosomal RNA, 253 nt
Filed under: uncultured bacterium
Lineage: Bacteria
Description: partial 16S ribosomal RNA
Rfam family: Bacterial small subunit ribosomal RNA
Source: RNAcentral
UACGGAGGGUCCAAGCGUUAUCCGGAAUCAUUGGGGUUAAAGGGUCCGUAGGCGGUUUAAUAAGUCAGUGGUGAAAGCCCAUCGCUCAACGAUGGAACGGCCAUUGAUACUGUUAAACUUGAAUUAUUAGGAAGUAACUAGAAUAUGUAGUGUAGCGGUGAAAUGCUUAGAGAUUACAUGGAAUACCAAUUGCGAAGGCAGGUUACUACUAAUAUAUUGACGCUGAUGGACGAAAGCGUGGGGAGCGAACAGG